GUCUACAGCCAUACCAUCCUGAACAGGUCUGAUCUUGUCUAAUCUCAGAAGCCAAGCAGGGUCAGGCCUGGUUAGUACUUAGAGGGGAGACAAAGAAUAAUAUCGUUUCUACAUACA
Molecule: ribosomal RNA, 117 nt
Filed under: Cebus imitator (Panamanian white-faced capuchin)
Lineage: Eukaryota; Metazoa; Chordata; Mammalia; Primates; Cebidae
Source: RNAcentral